GUACACGCUGUGACUAGCAUAUCAAUAAGCGGAGGAAAAGAAACUAACAAGGAUUCCCCUAGUAACGGCGAGUGAAGCGGGAAGAGCUCAAAUUUGAAAUCUUAAAGGGUUUCCCUUUACGAAUUGUAGUUUAAAGAAGUGUUUUCUGUUGAGGUUUUGGUAAAAGUUCUUUGGAAUAGGACAUCAUAGAGGGUGAGAAUCCCGUAUUUGACCUUUACUUUCAACUUUGUGAUACACUAUCAAAGAGUCGGAUUGUUUGGGAAUGCAGUCCAAAAUGAGUGGUAAAUUUCAUCUAAAGCUAAAUAUUGGCGAGAGACCGAUAGCGAACAAGUACCGUGAGGGAAAGAUGAAAAGAACUUUGAAAAGAGAGUUAAACAGUACGUGAAAUUGUCAAAAGGGAAGCGUUUGACACCAGUGUUGUUUUUCUGAAAAUCAAUUAAAGAACUGUUUAUGCUAAGUUGUUUAGACUUUAUCAGCUAACUGUUUAGUUUUGAGCUUUUCUUUAAUGCACUUUUCAGUUAACAAGUCAACAUCAAUUUCUUUUGCUGUAAAAAAGCUUGAGGAAGGUGGCUAGAGAUUCGUCUUAAGUGUUUAUAGCCUCUUGCCUAUGCAGUCGGAGAGAUUGAGGUCUGCAGCGUAGAUCCUUCGGGGCUAAAUGCAUUUGUGCUAAGUUAUAGCAUUUUCAUAGACAACUUGUUGACUAUGAUUUGUCUUGUAGCUUACUCGCUUAUGUUAUUUUACCUACGCUUAGGAUGUUGACAGCAGUAUAGACUGU
RNAcentral lists this ribosomal RNA (775 nucleotides) under uncultured Neocallimastigales. Its description in RNAcentral is "partial large subunit ribosomal RNA". It matches the Rfam family "Eukaryotic large subunit ribosomal RNA", at positions 22 to 637 of the family's 3401-position model. Lineage: Eukaryota; Fungi; Neocallimastigomycota; Neocallimastigomycetes; Neocallimastigales. The record is from RNAcentral.